Molecule: long non-coding RNA, 1323 nt
Organism: Hyla sarda
Lineage: Eukaryota; Metazoa; Chordata; Amphibia; Anura; Hylidae
Exons: 3
Source: RefSeq, a predicted model, not a curated record
CACCUUCACCAGCAUUGUGCCCGGCCUCCACUCCCACGUCUGCGCCGGCCUGACGUCACACCGCAUGGCCGCGCAGGAGGACGUCAGGUACGUCACUCGCACGGCGCCCGGUGAGAAGGAGCGCUGCGCUGGAUGGAGGAUGAGAAUGCGCUGACAUAGUGAGGAGACAUCUGGGCGUCACAUUCUGCAGAGAGAAGUUUUAGCUGGAUCAAGUCCUGGCGGAACCAACUCAUUCCUUCGAAGUGGGAGACAUAGUACUGGUAAAAGCACUGCGAGGAAACAAGUCACAGACUGACUUUUCCUACAGUCCCCCGACCUCUGUGGUAGCAGUAACUGUCACAGCUGUACUCACAGACAAUUCCCCUACCUGGAUCCAUGCCACUAGGAUCAAGCGCUACAAAAAGAAAGCAGUAAAAGGGGUAAUAACGGGAGCAGACAGCUCUGACCUGAAGACCAACCAGAGAUACUAAAGGGGGCAGACAGCCCUGACACCUGAAGAGCCAACCAGAGGUAUUAACAGGGGCAGACAGCUCUGACCUCCAUCUCCUAGUGAAGUUUGAAGAGUUCUGGAACCAUGUGGAAACUAUGCUGCCUGGCGCUCCCAUCAUGGUCAAUAACCUUAUUGACUAUUAGCUGCACUCAGGGGCAAGUAGGCAACACUUGGGAAGGCGGGAUACCUGUUCUAUGGUAUAACUCCACCUCCUCGAGUUGUUUCGUGGCUUAUUCCCCCUGCCUAAUGAACACAUGUCCUACUAUAGUAAGUGUUUAUAGCAAUAGGUAAAGUACUGUUGAUUGCUGCCUUUAUUGCCAUGUGUGUCCUCCCCUGUAUCCGAAAAAUCCUUUCUAAGAGUAUAAGUGAUCUUUCUAUGUAUCAAUCCCUUCUCACAGGACGCUCUUCGGAAGCCUACAAGUCGUACGUGCAGAAUUAUAAGAACACUCGGAAAUAGAACCAUGUUAUUUGAGAAAUAUUAUGGUUCUAAGAGGGGAUUGAAAGGUUAUAUCAGGGCAUGAUGUGAGUUGUAGUCAGUGAAAGGCUGCAAUAGAGUACUCCUUUAUUAUUGUUACAUUUUUUUCUUCUCUCUUUCUGUUAGUUCUCAGCCUUUUUCAAGGUCUUGUUCCUAAUAAUUUACUUUUCCCGUAACUAAAGUUGCUUGCUAAAGAAUUCAAACUAUCUGCUAAUUGGCUAGCUAUGUAUCCAGGAAAAAAGUAUGUAAAAUCAAAACAAUUAGAUCACCUUUUACUCGUGUCCACAUUUUAAUUGGUCAAUGUAAAUACGCCCGUAGCCUUUUUAUACUGAUGCUCAAUGCAAUAAAGUAGAGUCUG